Molecule: unclassified non-coding RNA, 314 nt
Filed under: Hevea brasiliensis (rubber tree)
Lineage: Eukaryota; Viridiplantae; Streptophyta; Magnoliopsida; Malpighiales; Euphorbiaceae
Source: RNAcentral
CAAGCCUCUUAUGCCAUAAAAAAGAUUCAUCAUCAUAUUUACUGCUCCUACAAGCAUGCAAGGAAAUUUAAUUCCAAUUCAAAGGAAAACUUCUAUUUUCCAUAGACACAUCAGCUAGUUCAUUGCCAUUAGGAUCCACAAUUACACAGUGAUUAUUUUUGAAUGUCAAAGAAUAGCCUUUUUGCAUCAUUUGACCCACACUCAACAAAUUUUGAUCUAAAUCAGGCACUAGCAGAACAUCUGAAAUGAAUUUUGUACCUGAAGAAGUAUGAAUGGCCACAGUACCUUUGCCUGUGAUAGAAACUUUCUCUCCA